This 2547-nucleotide long non-coding RNA is filed under the name Nicotiana tabacum (common tobacco). Its description in RNAcentral is "long non-coding RNA (NTAB_LNC011946)". The record is from RNAcentral. Lineage: Eukaryota; Viridiplantae; Streptophyta; Magnoliopsida; Solanales; Solanaceae.
GACAAUGUUUCUCGUCCAUUGUCCCGCAUGAUCGUUUCGCUCCCGCAUAGGCCCAUGGCAAGGCCAUCAUGCCUCAAUCCUUGCCACUGCCGCGCCAUGUCUAAUGACAAAGAAUCAGGUCCUAACAAACCACCCGCACCCUUUGAAAUUGACAUCCUCGUCGAGCCGACUUAACGAAUCAACCCCAAGGGGUUGUUCACAAACAACUCCCCUGUAGGUGCAUUCACAUUUGCCACAAUGGCAUUUGCUUCCGCCACUUGUUCCUGUCUCUCCGCAGCCAGCAUAACAUUCACCCUAGCCUGCACCGGACAGUCCCUCUUCAAGUGCGGUCCCCCACAAGUGAAGCAGCCACUGAAUUUGCCGCCUCUGUCCUUGCCUUUGGAAGUCUCCGUCUGCCUUCCAUUCUUGGCAAGACCCACGUCUUCGACAGCUUGGCCUUUCCCACUUUUCUUCCAUUCCUUUCCCUUGUCCUUCCUUCCAUCGGACUUUGAAUGCGAAGACUCAGCAGGGUCAUGACCUAUAUUGAGGUCAGCCAACGCAUCUGCCGCUGCAAUAGCAAUAGAGAGGCUUUGAACAUUCUGCCUUCUCAACUCUAAUUGCGCCCAGCCCUUCAACCCGCUCAUGAAGUAAUGCAGCUUGUCUUCUUCUGCCAUGUUACUUACAUUGAGCAUCAAGGAUGAAAAUUCCUUGACAUACUCCCUUACCGUACCACUUUGUUUCAAGUGGCGCAGUCCGUCUCUCGCCACCCACGACGAGUUGGUUGGAAGGAAUUGGGAUUUUAAUUCCUUCUUCAACGUCUCCUAAGUUUCAAUCUUGGGCAGUCCAGCACUUUCCGCUUCUACUACUCGUGUACGCCACCAUACCUUUGCAUCAUCCGUCAAAUACAUCGGUGUGAUGGUCACUUUUUCAUCAUUCGGCACACAAGCAGCUAGGAAAUACUGCUCCAUAUCCCAUAAGAAAUUUUCCAGUUCUUUGGCACUUCUUGCACCGCCAUAAGCCUUUGGCUCCGGGAUCCUCACUUUGGUGCGAUCAUUGUUUCUAGGGGCAUUAUUUUGUAAUGCCCUUCGAAGUUGAACUACCUCCUCGCGCAGUUCUUCCUCAUCCUUGCGUACCAAGGCCAUUUCUGCCAGUGUAGUCUCAUACCUCGCUGCAUAAUCUGCCUCUAGGCGGGCCAUUCUCGCAAGAACAAAAGAAUCGGAACCCAUUUCAAGAGCCUGCCCAAUGAGUGCUUCCAACUGUUCCACUCUUUGGCGCAAUUCCGUAUUUGUGCCACCAGCCAUGUUCUCAAACAGCAACACGUAAUCUGCUACUGAUCGUCUUACCACCGCUACGAACUUUGCUCUACUCUGAUAUUAGUUUAUCAGGGUAGCUCUGAUACCAGCUUGUCACAGGGUCAAAUUGGGCCAAUUUUUCGCGCCUAAUUGACACUGCGCGGCAGCAACCUGACACUCAAGUUACUCAGCCUUUUCCAACACUUGGCCAACUUUUUAACAAGUUCGGCCUUAAGCAAAAUUCGAUAGCAACAUAAAGAGAACACAAUCAAGUACGGGAAAAUCCCAACCUUUGUAUUAAUAUGAAAAUAUACAAAGGACCCCUCACUUUGCUAUGAACACAAGUCGUUCAUAGCCCACUUCGACCAGCCAAGAUCACAAGUCGAUCUUGUCACACUAAGACCUGCCCAAAUGCCCAGCCUUAGCCCACUUUUGAAACACUCAGAAACCCUCACGUUUCUUUCUUGUUUCCCACUUUACUAUGAACAUNNNNNNNNNNNNNNNNNNNNNNNNNUCUUAGCCGCAUUCCUGCCUCGUAUUUGUCAACACUUGUUUCACCCAUGCCAUUGUUUGUAUCUUGUCUCACAUAGCUUUGCCUUAGCUAUUGAAACCCUUUGCCAUCAUUCCGUGCCCCCGCAAUUUAGCUUAGCUUGUACUUGGUGCUCCCACAAUCCGAACUGCCCGUACCUUUGUCUUUGGCGCGCAUGCCGCUUCAUGCCACCCAAACGUGUCCGCACUGCCUCGACAAGCCUUUGCCAAACUUGUCUUGCCUGUCCCAAGACUUUGGCCAAUACUUGUUCCCCUUGAUAAUGUUUCUCGUCCAUUGUCCCGCAUGAUCGUUUCGCUCCCGCAUAGGCCCAUGGCAAGGCCAUCAUGCCUCAAUCCUUGCCACUGCCGCGCCAUAUCUGAUGACAAAGAAUCAGGUCCUAACAAACCACCCGCACCCUUUGAAAUCGAUGUCCUCGUCGAGCCGACUUAACGAAUCAACCCCAAGGGGUUGUUCACAUACAACUCCCCUGUAGGUGCAUUCACAUUUGCCACAAUGGCAUUUGCUUCCGCCACUUGUUCCUGUCUCUCCGUGGCCAGCAUAACAUUCACUCUAGCCUGCACCGGACAGUCCCUCUUCAAGUGCGGUCCCCCACAAGUGAAGCAGCCACUGAAUUUGCCGCUUCUGUCCUUGCCCUUGGAAGUCUCUGUCUGCCUUCCAUUCUUGGCAAGACCCACGUCUUCGACAGCUUGGCCUUUCCCACUUUUCUUCCAUUCCUUUCCCUUGUCC